UACGUAGGUGGCAAGCGUUGUCCGGAUUUAUUGGGUUUAAAGGGUGCGUAGGCGGUCAAUUAAGUCAGUGGUGAAAUACGGCAGCUCAACUGUCGAGGUGCCAUUGAUACUGGUUGACUUGAGUACUGAUGAGGUAGGCGGAAUGGACGGUGUAGCGGUGAAAUGCUUAGAGAUCGUCCAGAACACCGAUAGCGAAGGCAGCUUACUAAGGAGUAACUGACGCUGAGGCACGAAAGUGUGGGGAU
Molecule: ribosomal RNA, 245 nt
Filed under: uncultured Cesiribacter sp.
Lineage: Bacteria; Pseudomonadati; Bacteroidota; Cytophagia; Cytophagales; Cesiribacteraceae
Description: partial 16S ribosomal RNA
Rfam family: Bacterial small subunit ribosomal RNA
Source: RNAcentral